This 76-nucleotide transfer RNA is filed under the name Bacillus cereus. RNAcentral's name for it is "tRNA-Val". It matches the Rfam family "tRNA". From Rfam's summary of the family: Transfer RNA (tRNA) molecules are approximately 80 nucleotides in length. Lineage: Bacteria; Bacillati; Bacillota; Bacilli; Caryophanales; Bacillaceae. RNAcentral also lists the same sequence under 6 other names. The record is from RNAcentral.
GGACACUUAGCUCAGUUGGGAGAGCACCAUCUUGACAGGGUGGGGGUCAGCGGUUCGAACCCGUUAGUGUCCACCA